GACGAACGCUGGCGGCGUGCUUAACACAUGCAAGUCGAACGGAAAGGCCCUGCUUUUGUGGGGUGCUCGAGUGGCGAACGGGUGAGUAACACGUGAGUAACCUGCCCUUGACUUUGGGAUAACUUCAGGAAACUGGGGCUAAUACCGGAUAGGAGCUCCUGCUGCAUGGUGGGGGUUGGAAAGUGUCGGCGGGUGGGGAUGGACUCGCGGCUUAUCAGCUUGUUGGUGGGGUAGUGGCUUACAAAGGCUUUGACGGGUAGCCGGCCUGAGAGGGUGACCGGCCACGUUGGGACUGAGAUACGGACCAGACUCCUACGGGAGGCAGCAGUGGGGAAUAUUGCAGAAUGGGCGGAAGCGUGAUGCAGCAGCGCCGCGUGCGGGAUGACGGCCUUCGGGGUGUAAACCGAAUUCGCCUGUGACGAAGGGUGAGUGACGGUAAUGGGUAAAGAAGCACCGGCUAACUACGUG
RNAcentral lists this ribosomal RNA (468 nucleotides) under uncultured bacterium. Its description in RNAcentral is "partial 16S ribosomal RNA". It matches the Rfam family "Bacterial small subunit ribosomal RNA", at positions 28 to 507 of the family's 1533-position model. The record is from RNAcentral.